Molecule: ribosomal RNA, 517 nt
Filed under: Salmonella enterica
Lineage: Bacteria; Pseudomonadati; Pseudomonadota; Gammaproteobacteria; Enterobacterales; Enterobacteriaceae
Description: partial 23S ribosomal RNA
Rfam family: Bacterial large subunit ribosomal RNA
Source: RNAcentral
CUGUAAGCCUGUGAAGGUGGCCUGUGAGGGUUGCUGGAGGUAUCAGAAGUGCGAAUGCUGACAUAAGUAACGAUAAAGCGGGUGAAAAGCCCGCUCGCCGGAAGACCAAGGGUUCCUGUCCAACGUUAAUCGGGGCAGGGUGAGUCGACCCCUAAGGCGAGGCCGAAAGGCGUAGUCGAUGGGAAACGGGUUAAUAUUCCCGUACUUGGUGUUACUGCGAAGGGGGGACGGAGAAGGCUAUGUUGGCCGGGCGACGGUUGUCCCGGUUUAAGCGUGUAGGUGUGUGUUCCAGGUAAAUCCGGUUCACUUUAACACUGAGGCGUGAUGACGAGGCACUACGGUGCUGAAGCAACAAAUGCCCUGCUUCCAGGAAAAGCCUCUAAGCAUCAGGUAACAUCAAAUCGUACCCCAAACCGACACAGGUGGUCAGGUAGAGAAUACCAAGGCGCUUGAGAGAACUCGGGUGAAGGAACUAGGCAAAAUGGUGCCGUAACUUCGGGAGAAGGCACGCUGACAU